RNAcentral lists this ribosomal RNA (116 nucleotides) under Pteropus alecto (black flying fox). Lineage: Eukaryota; Metazoa; Chordata; Mammalia; Chiroptera; Pteropodidae. The record is from RNAcentral.
GUCUAUGGCCAUGCCACCCUGAACAAGCCCGAUGACUGAUCUUGGAAGCUAAGCAGGGUCGGGCCUGGUUAGGACUUGGAUGGGAGACCACCUAGGACGACCAGGUGCUGUAGGCA